UAACAUUUUCAUCUUUUAUCACAAAGAGAGAGUUAGCUUCUCAGAAAAUCUCUAUUGCUCCUAUCGACAUGCCCUAGCUCCUAAUUGAUCGAUCGAUCUUACUUCUCCCUUUGCGUAGAUCUUCAGUUAGCUUCCGUAGAUCUCUAUUGCUCCUGUCGACGGGCCCUAAUCGAUCCAAGAAUGAUUCUGGGAUCUUGAACCAGUUAGCUGCCGUAGAUAUUACUUCCCAAAAUCCAAGCAUGUGUGCAUUUCGAAGACUCGAUUUUCCUAACUCCCGAUUGCUGGUCGGUUGUUCUGGGAAGUGUGAGUGAGCACACUAUGCUCACUGCUCUGUCAUGAUUGUCAAGAGGCCCAAGCCCACCAAGUGAUAGAUCAUAUGUUGCAUCACCCAAACUAUUGUGUAGCUUAGUGUGCGUGAUUGUUUGUCAAAAGAGACUUGCUUUGUGCCCCAUUUAUCUGGUCUGGAAGAAGGGUGGUAUGAUGGAGGAAGCAUUUAAUUAGCUUUGUUGUUCUGCUUGUUAUGUUCUUUAUAGGUGGAAGUUGGGUAAAAAAGCUACGAUAAAUGGAGUUCCUACAAAGGUCCUUUGGUACUUUCUGCUUAUUCCAAGAUUUCAAAUAUUGUUUCGAAACAAGGAGAUAUGUAAGGAGUUAACUUGGCAUGCUGAUAAAAGCUUACUUGACGGAUACUUGCGUCAUCCGGCUGAUGCGCCCGCUUGGAAAGUAGUGGAUCACAAGUGGCCAGAUUUUGCUACUGAACCCAGAAAUCUUAGAUUGGCGUUAUUAGCAGACGGGAUCAAUCUCCAUAGUUUGAUGAGUUCUGUAUAUAGUUGUUGGCCAGUUGUGAUGAUCACUUACAAACUUCCUCCAUGGUUGUGUAUGAAGAGAAAAUUUAUGAUGCUCACUUUAUUGAUUUAUGGUCCCAAAUAACCGGGAAAUGGUAUUGACAUUUACUUAACACCUUUGAUCGAUGACUUGAAAAGAUUAUGAGAUAUAGGUGUUGAUGCAUAUAAUGCAUGUUGAGAAGAAAAUUUCUUGCUUAGGGCUAUUUUAUUAUGGGGAAUCAAUGAUUUUCCUGCAUAUGG
This is a long non-coding RNA of Zingiber officinale, 1082 nucleotides long. RefSeq lists it as uncharacterized. The transcript is spliced from 4 exons. The record is from RefSeq and is a predicted model, not a curated record. NCBI's taxonomy places the organism in Eukaryota, Viridiplantae, Streptophyta, Magnoliopsida, Zingiberales, Zingiberaceae.